Molecule: long non-coding RNA, 843 nt
Organism: Brassica napus (rape)
Lineage: Eukaryota; Viridiplantae; Streptophyta; Magnoliopsida; Brassicales; Brassicaceae
Exons: 3
Source: RefSeq, a predicted model, not a curated record
CGACAAAGCUUAUGAAUAGAAGCCUAAACUGGAGCAAUAUUUGAAGAUCAUCUGUCAAUAUAGCUUCAAUCUCAAGAUCAUCUCUAUGUUGAAGGAUAUAUAUUUCAAAUCAGAGAUGAAAAAGAAUCUCUAUAGAAGGUGUUGAUUAAACAUGCAAGAUCAUCAAUGGCUGUCAAGCUCACCUCGUAACAAAAGUUAAGCGAAGAAGUCGAAUAGAUUCCAACAUAUAUGAGUCGAGAUAGUUAGAAUCAACAUACGAAUAAAGCUCUAGAGUUCUUUAUACAGGAGCAACUGAUACGAAACAGUGAAGACAAAGAGGAAGAAAGGUAGAGAGAUAAUUAGACGAUGUAGAAUGAAUCUCUAUAGAUGAUAAGCAGGUUAGUUAAUCAUGUUUUUCCUGCAAUUUUCACUGGAAUAUUGCAAAUCUCCAUUGAACUAACUAAUGCUUUGUUUAGAAAUGUUUUAACAGUGGCAAAAGAGAGACCAUAUUGGAUUAACUGGGCAGAUCUCCACCAAGAUGAUGCCUAAGCUCACAUAGACAUUGAUCAUAUAUUGGACUAACUGUGCUGCCAGAAAGAUAUAUGUUGGAAAAGAAAGAAUGUACAUCCGUGUGUCAGUGUGUGUUGAAGAUCAAACACACAUAUUCCAAACAUAUCACAGAAAAAAGGUUAGAAAUCUACUUUCGACUUGGUAGUACUCAAAUUAAAAUAAAGUUAGUAAUAAAAAGAAAUCAAUUUCGAAACAGCAUCGGUUAGAACUAAGAUUAAACAUUUGCCUUAUAAUUUAUUUUUGGCUUGUCACUGAUUAUUGCUUGCUUAAUGGUACUUGAAUUUCUGUGUUUGG